RNAcentral lists this long non-coding RNA (761 nucleotides) under Capsicum annuum. Its description in RNAcentral is "long non-coding RNA (CANN_LNC014180)". The record is from RNAcentral. Lineage: Eukaryota; Viridiplantae; Streptophyta; Magnoliopsida; Solanales; Solanaceae.
GCAAACAAUAUUAAAUAGCAAUCCAGAGAAUAAAUUCCUGCUAUAGUUUCAUACCAAACUCCAGAAAACCAAAAUAAAGAAUAAUAACUUAUCAGCAAGCAUAAAACCAAAUACCAACCAAAGAACAUUAUUCAAUCCAACACAAAACAAAAUUCAGAACAACAAUAUGAUAAACAAAUAAAGAGAAAAGAGGCAUCAUUAGAGCACAAAAAUGCAUAGAUAUUUUUUUAAGAAAAUAAAACUUAAUAACCAAAAUCGGAGGCAACAAAGGCUGUCAGCGGCGUCGCUUUAACGGUUUCAACCGAAUCAGCAUCGGAGGAAACAAAACAUUUCCUAGAUCUGGCCAUAUAUAGUAAGGCAAUGACGGUUUGUUUCAACAAGAGAAUCACCCACCGGGGACCAAUCCCAGCGAGGCACGGGGAAAGGUGAAGGAAAAGAGAAAAAUGGGGAGCUCCACCGGAGUUGUUGUUGGUUGGUGGCAUGUUUUUCGCCGUUGGAGGUUUAAGGAUGGUUGGUUUUUGGGAUUUUGAGGUUGGUGGAAGACGUAUGGUGGUGGCGUGGCUAGAUCUCGUCGGUCAUAACUCCGACGAGCCAGGAGCGAUAAAGAUCAAGGAGAGACGGCGUGUGUGGCAUUGUUUCAUCAUAUUUCGGCAUUAGAGCAACAUGGGAAAUGGUUUUCUGGUCCUGAGAAAGAGAAAAUGAGGAAAAAGAAAGGGAAAAAUACACCACAUAGCUUUUUAAAAAAGUAAUGGACAAUAAUG